GCAAGGUCACCUUUACUGAAUACAAACUUUAGUACUACUGCUGCUUUUAAGAAGUGGGAGAAGGAAAUUAAUCUACAGGAUCAACGAGAUCAUCAUGAUGAAGCUAAUAUUUGUACUGAGUCUCUUCUGGGCGCUCUAUAGUACAGCUGGAGCCCUGACGUGUAUGACCUGCACAGACCAGACGUGUUCAAGCACAAUACCACUAACAUGUAGCUCAGAGACGAUGUGUAUAACAGCUACCAUCCGAGCUACUCAAUCUGGAACUUCAGUAACAGCUCUACAAAGCCUGUGCAGCGUCCUCUCUGUGUCCGGCUGCAGGCACCUCGACUUUUUCAGUCAACUUGGGAACCCAAAGU
This is a long non-coding RNA of Xiphophorus hellerii (green swordtail), 356 nucleotides long. RefSeq lists it as uncharacterized. Lineage: Eukaryota; Metazoa; Chordata; Actinopteri; Cyprinodontiformes; Poeciliidae. The transcript has 3 exons. The record is from RefSeq and is a predicted model, not a curated record.